GUGAAAUUGUUGAAAGGGAAGCGCUUGCAACCAGACCUGCCUGCAGUUGCUCAUCCGGGCUUUUGCCCGGUGCACUCUUCUGCUGUCAGGCCAGCAUCGGUUCGGGCGGUCGGAUAAAGGCUUCGGGAAUGUAGCUCCUCUCGAGGAGUGUUAUAGCCCGUUGCGAAAUGCGGCCAGCCUGAACUGAGGUCCGCGCUUCGGCUAGGAUGCUGGCGUAAUGGUUGUAAGCGGCCCGUCUUGAAACACGGACCAAGGAGUCUAACAUCUGUGCGAGUGUUUGGGUGUCAAACCCGUACGCGUAAUGAAAGUGAACGGAGGCGGGAACCCCUCGGGGUGCACCGUCGACCGAUCCUGAUGUCUUCGGAUGGAUUUGAGUAAGAGCAUAGCUGUUGGGACCCGAAAGAUGGUGAACUAUGCCUGAAUAGGGUGAAGCCAGAGGAAACUCUGGUGGAGGCUCGCAGCGGUUCUGACGUGCAAAUCGAUCGUCAAAUUUGGGCAUAGGGGCGAAAGACUAAUCGAACUAUCUAGUAGCUGGUUCCUGCCGAAGUUUCCCUCAGGAUAGCAGUAACGUUUUCAGUUUUAUGAGGUAAAGCGAAUGAUUAGAGGCCUGGGGGUUGAAACAACCUUCACCUAUUCUCAAACUUUAAAUAUGUAAGAAGUCCUUGUUACUUAGUUGAACGUGGACAUUUGAAUGUAUCGUUACUAGUGGGCCAUUUUUGGUAAGCAGAACUGGCGAUGCGGGAUGAACCGAACGCGGAGUUAAGGUGCCGGAAUGCACGCUCAUCAGACA
Molecule: ribosomal RNA, 790 nt
Filed under: uncultured Ascomycota
Lineage: Eukaryota; Fungi; Ascomycota
Description: LSU rRNA
Rfam family: Eukaryotic large subunit ribosomal RNA
Source: RNAcentral